CCAACAGGGAUUGCCCUAGUAACGGCGAGUGAAGCGGCAACAGCUCAAAUUUGAAAGCUAGCCUUCGGGUUCGCAUUGUAAUUUGUAGAGGAUGAUUUGGGGAAGCCGCCUGUCUAAGUUCCUUGGAACAGGACGUCAUAGAGGGUGAGAAUCCCGUAUGUGACAGGAAAUGGCACCCUAUGUAAAUCUCCUUCGACGAGUCGAGUUGUUUGGGAAUGCAGCUCUAAAUGGGAGGUAAAUUUCUUCUAAAGCUAAAUAUUGGCGAGAGACCGAUAGCGCACAAGUAGAGUGAUCGAAAGAUGAAAAGCACUUUGGAAAGAGAGUUAAAAAGCACGUGAAAUUGUUGAAAGGGAAGCGCUUGCAAUCAGACUUGUUUAAACUGUUCGGCCGGUCUUCUGACCGGUUUACUCAGUUUGGACAGGCCAGCAUCAGUUUCGGCGGCCGGAUAAAGGCUCUGGGAAUGUGGCCUCCACUUCGGUGGAGGUGUUAUAGCCCAGGGUGUAAUACGGCCAGCCGGGACUGAGGUCCGCGCUUCGGCUAGGAUGCUGGCGUAA
RNAcentral lists this ribosomal RNA (554 nucleotides) under Aureobasidium pullulans. RNAcentral's name for it is "eukaryotic LSU rRNA". It matches the Rfam family "Eukaryotic large subunit ribosomal RNA", at positions 65 to 634 of the family's 3401-position model. Lineage: Eukaryota; Fungi; Ascomycota; Dothideomycetes; Dothideales; Saccotheciaceae. The record is from RNAcentral.